RNAcentral lists this RNase P RNA (393 nucleotides) under Deltaproteobacteria bacterium HGW-Deltaproteobacteria-15. RNAcentral's name for it is "RNase P RNA component class A". It matches the Rfam family "Bacterial RNase P class A". Rfam says of the family: Ribonuclease P (RNase P) is a ubiquitous endoribonuclease, found in archaea, bacteria and eukarya as well as chloroplasts and mitochondria. Lineage: Bacteria; Deltaproteobacteria. The record is from RNAcentral.
AGAGCAGGACGAAUGACCGCUGUUCCGCUUCUGGCGGAAGGGAGGAAAGUCCGGGCUCCACAGGACAGAGCGCUGGGUAACGCCCAGUCCCGGCGACGGGAAGGAAAGUGCCACAGAAAGGAAACCGCCCCCGGCAUGUUUUUAGACAUGCCGAAGGGUAAGGGUGAAAGGGUGAGGUAAGAGCUCACCAGUCCUGACGGUGACGACAGGAGCUUGGUAAACCCCGCUCGGAGCAAGACCAAAUAGGGGGGCGCUUAAGGGCUGUCCGUCCCAGCCCCCGGGUAGGUCGCAUGAUCCCGUCGGUAACGGCGGGGCUAGAUGAAUGGUCAUUGUCUCCCGGUUCACUUUUGUGAAAUGGGGGAAACAGAACCCGGCUUAUGGACUGCUCUAACA